Molecule: long non-coding RNA, 6076 nt
Filed under: Sus scrofa (pig)
Lineage: Eukaryota; Metazoa; Chordata; Mammalia; Artiodactyla; Suidae
Description: lncRNA (ENSSSCG00015028732.1)
Source: RNAcentral
GUCUCCAGAUGCGUGUCUACUGCUGAGUUGCAGGGGAAACCAGCAAGCAUGGUGAUCCGUGCCCCUGCUCACCUCUCCUCUAAGACCUGGCACUGCCCAUCCACCUGGACGACUUCCUGCUUUUCAGAUAUCAGAAUGCAGGUGUGCCUGUGGAGUGGUACAACUGCAUCCUUUUCUCUCAGCGCAACCCGAGUGGACAUCGACACGUUCAGAUUUAGCAGAGAUUCUUUUUUUCGCCAGUUCUUUCUACCCAUUAAAUGUGUUGCAGUAUCGGGAUUUGCCUGUGUGAGUGGCUUUAAAAGGAGGAAACCAGAGGACAAGAGCAGUUGCAUAUUGACGGUGUCAUGGAUGCCCUCUAACUUUAUCCAGUAGAGCUGUGGCAAGGAUGAAGAGAGUGAGCAUGUGUAAAGGGCUGCUGGUUGUGCACUCCGUGAACCUCUGCGCUUAUGGAAAGAAGAGACAUUUUGCUGGAAGGUUUGGGCUUCCAACUUUCCUGCUGACCGAGCUUGAACUGCUAGAAGGGGAAAAACAAACAGAGAUUCCACCUGCACCACGAGCCGGCCCCAGAGUAAACAUUCCACACACAUCGGCUGGGUUAUCUCCAGAAUGAUCCUGCAUGGCUGGUGCUGUUAUUAUCUCCAUGUUACAGGACUCAAAGAACUGGUCAGGGCUUAGCAGCCCCGGGACAACCUUGCCUGGAUGGAAGAUUUCACCUUUGGCGGAAAGGAGGCAAACUCAGCCAUGCUCUCAAGCAAAUUCCAACUGGGAUGCAGGUUUUCUUUCUCUUUUCCUGUUCCCCCUCUAGUUUAGAAGAGCUACUGCAUUGGCUGAUUCCCCAGGUUAGGAUUCCAAGGAAGCAAAAGUAAGAGUUAUUUCUUCAUUGAGCCUCAAGAGCCCUUUCAAUCCACUUGUUGUUGGCCCCAAGCCAAAGCCAGUUACCUUCUGAUGGAAAGAAAUGAUUUCCGUGUUAAUAUGAUUUGUAUCUGGCAAAUCCAUGCAGCCUGCUGAUUAUCAUCAUAUUCCUGGCCUUCCGUUCUUUUCAAAAUGACAGGCUAUUGAUCCAGCCUUCUCCCAGUUUUGAAGUUUAUGGAAAAGGACGUCUCCACGGUACAGUUCAUUCCCACUGGUCCUCGAGCUGCAGGGGAGACAUGUUGACUUUUGAAUUUCAGGUACUUUCCCUGCCCCUUUCAAUGAGGACCAAGCACUAAGAAUCUUCUGAUGCCUACCAGGCACAAUGCUGAGCCCAGAGUCGGCCCUCAGAGCUCGCUGAGCAGAACGGAGCUGGGGGUACCUGUCUCUCCCACCCUCCUCUGAGACUUUGCCCUUUAAAUUCAUCAGUGGCAGCACCGUGGGUUCUCUCCGCAGAGGCAGCGGCAUAGCCGGGCAUCUUCUCUUACCGACACUUUCUCUGUUUGGUGUGCGCUUAACAACCACCUUGAGGCUGGGUGAGAACCAGACUUGUUUUGAGGGACUCUGGGAAGGCAGAGCUGGGCUGUGGCCCUGGGUAUCCUGGCUCCAGGCCCAGUGCUCUUUCCCCUCAUCUUAUCCUCACAUCCCUCUCAGGCACCCUUCCAAGGCAGGCAGCGUAGCCCCACCAGCACUUAGACGGCAUCUUGGCCCUGCCGUUCAGGAGCUGCGGGAUCUUGAGCAGAUGUUAUCUUUCUAAGCCUCAGUUUCUCCAUCUGUUAACUGGAGCUAAGAAUGCCCCGGUCAGCAAUCCUCAGGGCCAUUGCACAAGUUAAAUGAGAUGAUGCCAGUGAAGCUUCUCACACAGAGGUUAUCUCUGAGUUAGGGCCCAAUAGCUGUUUACUGGUGUGACUGGUGAUACUAUUGUUCUUUGGGGGAAACUGUUCUCUCUCUGAGCCAAGACCAAUGGCUCGAUCCGUAGGUCUUUCCUCAGCCUUGGUCUGGAUGUGGUCAUCAUUCCUCCAUCCACCUCCCUUUCUUAUUCUCUAAAUGAAAGAACCUGUCCUUUCAGCCAAAAGAAUUUGUCAGUGUUACCUGAGUUUCUAAGAUAUUUAGAAAGCCUCUUUCAAGGAGAAUCCUUAGAGACAGCAUGAAAAGAGAGUCAGGCCAGACAUCUGCCCCAUGAGGAGGAAGCCCGGAUUCUGGCCAACCACCUCUUCCCUCAUCUUCCUUUGUGGAGCAGAAACUUCACUAGAGACUGGAUUGAGCUGGCCCCCUGGUCUGGAUGUGGCCCUGAAACAGCACUGCUCAGCUGCCUCCAUCCCCUCCCCACCCAUCUGGGUACCAUGUCCUGCUGACUCUGUCUCCAUGACUCAUCUGAGUUUCCCUGUCAAACCCAGUGCCACCACCCCAGGCCAUGCUCCUCAUGCAUGGACAAUUAACUAGCCACUACCUAACGAGUCUUCUCGCCUUCAGGUUCUUAAGGAAUCCAGAACUCUGGACCAGACUGGGCUUCCUGGAGCCUGGCGCUGUUGGUGUGCCUUCUCAGCAGACUCCCACUUUAUAAAGCAAGCUUCUAAGCCUAGGCCAGGCAGAAUGUGGCCAACCCUGUCCCCCUGUCUCAUGUCACUGUCCUCCAUUAGGGCUGCACACCAUGUCCCGCACUCACGUUUCCCAAACACCCAUCCAAGGUGCUUUGAAAAAAUGAGUGUUCCGAGGCAUGACCCAAAUCUACUGAGACUUACUGCAGGUAGAUCCGGGGAAUCUAUAUUUAUAAAAGUGUUCCAGGGGACCAAAGCCCCAUCAGGGGUGGGAACCACUGUGCACAGGGCUGCCAGGGAGGUCUGUGCUCAGCCCCCACGCUUAUCACAUACUCCCACUUCCACACAUGCCACCCUCUUUGCCCACCAUCCAGGCUCUGCCUGCUAAUUUCUCCCCAUCUUUCAAGGCCCACGUCCAAGAACCUCUCCUCCAGGAAGUUUCUCCAGAUUCCUCCAGCAGAAGUAUGCCUCAUCUCCCAACAUCCUGUCCUCCCUCUCUGCUAUAUUCUGGGCAUCCCUUAAAGUCUGCCUCCACUGCCUCAUCUCCUGGCCCCUGGACAAAAGGAAGAUGUCGCUGUGGCUGGCUGCUCUCCAUCCUUUCCCCAUCCACUUGCAGAUAAUAGUAUUUAUGGAAUAGGAGCCUCUUAAGGAUUCAUGAGCUAUCCAUCUAGAGGACUUUGAAUUGUGCCAAGAGAUGUUAGCUCUCCGAAUCCUCACAGCCAUCAUGGCAUCUUCAUUCAGGUUUUUGGGGUUAUUUGUGUGCCCACAUUUUCUCCCUCGAGUUCCUGUUGACAGCAAGACUGUCCUGUUCCUCUUCCCACCCACUGCGACACUUGACACCAUACAGCUUUGGCAUGUAUACAGGACAUGUCAUAGUACUGGCUGGAUGGUGACAUGCUCUGAUACGGUUAACCGCUCCCCCUGUACCACUCUCUUCUCUCCCCACCUGGCCCUACCACUGCAGUUUGCCCUCAAAGAACUUAGCACUCUUAGAGUUUGUAAUUAUGUCUUUACUUUUUGCAAUUAUUUGAUUAUCAUCUGAUAUUUUCACCAAGUUCUAAGUUCCCUGAAGGCAGGGAUUUUAAAGUCAUUAAUUAGCCACCCCUAAUUAAUCUAAAAUUGAUUCAUUAACCUACCAAUGGACUUUUUUUUUUUUGGUUCUCCUAAUUAUACUAAUAUAAUAGAGGGGGUUCUGAAUAGUAGAGCAAUUAUGGUAAACGAGUUCUACGAGUAGCUAGAACUAUAUUCAGUGACCAUAUCAGAGUCUAGAUCAAUCAGAGCAUAGUUAAUUGGGUUAUUGACGGAGGUACAAGGUAGGCUUCAAUGUGGGCUCUGCAGUCAGGUGGGCUAGUUUGGGACAAUCUCACUUGUUACCUGUGUGACUAUAAACAAGGCCGUGACUCUACGCUUCUCAUCCGUAAAAUGGAGAUAAGAGUAGAUGGACCUCAUAGGAUCACUGGGCAUGUGAAAUGCUUACUCAGGAAGUUAGUUAUUAUGACGAUAAUACUGCUGACUUCCAAAUAACAUCAAACGAACCUAAUUAAAUGUUUAUGGGUAAGAUCAUGGGCUUCCAUUUUCUUAUCUGUGGGGAUAGUUUUUAUAAUAAAAAUGAUGAGCUGUUUACAAGGGAACAAUAAUGAUGGAGAUUUAGGGCCCAUCCAAGUACAUCCCAACCCCUGACCAGAAAUAUACUCACUUUAUAGAAAAUAAAGUCAUCACAGGUUUUACUUCCUCAAGGAAAGUUUAAGCAGAUUUAAAUUUUUCCUCAUAGAAAAACUAAAAUGAGUGAUUUGGGAACCAGGACAAAGAAAAAAAAGGGAAGGUCUCCAUUCAACCCCAUUCACCUGCUCUUCCAGCUGUAGGGCACUUGCCCUCCUGGAACUUUGAUGACAAACACAGAAUAUCACUGUGACCUUAAUAAAAUCUAGAGCCCUGCACUGUUUACGCACAAGGUCAUAUUCGAAAUCACGCAAUGCAAGGCCCACAGGCAAUUAAAGGGGAAUUGCUCAUCUUUAUUAGUAUCUCCCAAAGUACAGUUGGCCCUCUGUAUCUGUGGGUUUCACAUCUGAAAUUUCCAUCCACAGGUAGGAGAUGGAUAUGGAGGGCCGGCUAUAUUCAUUGUUCUCCAUUAUUUUAUGGAAGAGACAGGCCCAUUCAUGGAUUUGGAUUCACCUGGAGCCACCCCCAGGCAUACUGAGAGACAGCCGUACAUUAAAAGGGACUCGGGUGUUGCUGUUGUGGCUCAGCCUGUUGAAAACCCGACUAGUAUCCAUAAGGAUGCAGGUUCGAUCCCUGGCCUCACUCAGUGGGUUAAGGAUUCAGUGUUGUCGUGAGCUGUGGUGUAGGACGCAGAUGAGGCUUGGAUCCAGCAUUGCUGUGGCUGUGGUGUAGGCCAGUAGCUGCAGCUCCAAUUCGACCCCUAGCCCGGGAACUUCCAUAUGCCACAGCUGUGGCCCUAAAAAGAAAAAAAAAAAGUGAUUCAGUUCAUAGGUCACCAUAGUAUAUGUCAGAAGCACCUCCUCUCUGCCCUCAGAGAUGCUAUUUGGAGAUACUCCAAACCCCAGAUGCUUCCUCAAGCCUCAGCCCCUGGUAAAGGGUGUAGACCUUUCUCCUCCUACCUCCCUACUUGCUCCUUCUAUUGAUUGACCUCAUCCCUUUACCUCCCCACCCCCAACCCCUUCCACCUACCCCCUCUUCCCACAUCACAAAAGAUCCUGGACUGGGGCUGAUUAAAAGCUCUCCUUUACUGGAGGAGUGCUGGGCAGGGGCAGGCGGCAUAGAGGAUGACUAUCGUCUUUCCGGCUCCCUCUUUCAGAAACUGAAAAUUCUGUUUCUUUUCUGACUGUAGGUCACUGUCAUGGAACUGUUGACUAGGAUACGUAACUCAGGUUAGGUCAACCAGAUUCUCCCUGCUACCUCUCCCGGCAGCAGUGCCCCAGUGAGGCUCCUGAUUGGUUCCUGCCUUCCCCACCCCCUUGCUACCCAGACCUCUGCCACUGUCCAAGCCCAAUUCUUCAAUUUUCUCUACACCCUGCGAGCUGUCAAAAAUCUUUCCAACAAAUGUGUCUGCGUAAUUUGUCCACGUUGAUUUCUGUUGUUUGCAACCAAAGAACACUAGGUUAAUACCAAAAACUCUCAUAUUAAUCCAUCUUGUCACCAUCUCUGUUUGUGAGAUUACAGCUGCAGACCUGGACCAAUGAACCUGAAUUUAACUGAAGUAAUUUAUGGCAACACAAGGCCAAAAAGCAGCCUCCAUCAAAUUUGCUUUCUGGAGUUCCCCUUGUGGCUCAGAGGGUUAAGAGCCCAACAUAGUGCCCACGAGGAUGUGGGUUCAAACCCUGGCCUCGCUCAGUGUGUUAAGGAUCCCUUGUUGCUGUGGCUGUGGCAGAGGCCAGCAGCUGCAGCUCCAAUGUGACCUCUAGCCCUGGAACUUCCAUAUGCCACAGGUGCGGCUGUAAAAAAACUUUUUUUAAAAUUUGCUUUCUACUACCAUUUCUCAUUCUCUAACAAAAUCAUUCGGACCUACCUAAAAUUCCUGAUGAGGCAAAGAGUAAUGGUUACUCAAACAUUUUGUAAAACCUAUGUUCACUUUCUAGAGGCUAUGUUCAGUAAUAAAAAUAACAUGUACC